AGAUUGAACGCUGGCGGCAUGCCUUACACAUGCAAGUCGAACGGCAGCGCGGGAGCAAUCCUGGCGGCGAGUGGCGAACGGGUGAGUAAUAUAUCGGAACGUGCCUAGUAGUGGGGGAUAGCCCGGCGAAAGCCGGAUUAAUACCGCAUACGACCUGAGGGUGAAAGCGGGGGAUCGCAAGACCUCGCGCUACUGGAGCGGCCGAUAUCAGAUUAGCUAGUUGGUGGGGUAAAGGCCUACCAAGGCAACGAUCUGUAGUUGGUCUGAGAGGACGACCAGCCACACGUGGGACUGAGACACGGCCCAGACUCCGUACGGGAGGCAGCAGUGGGGUAAUUUUGGACAAGUGGGCGCAAGCCUGAUCCAGCAAUGCCGCGUGCAGGAAGAAGGCCGUUGGGUUAGUAAACGUUGUCGUUUU
This 418-nucleotide ribosomal RNA is filed under the name uncultured soil bacterium. RNAcentral's name for it is "bacterial SSU rRNA". It matches the Rfam family "Bacterial small subunit ribosomal RNA", at positions 26 to 442 of the family's 1533-position model. The record is from RNAcentral.